Molecule: ribosomal RNA, 253 nt
Filed under: uncultured bacterium
Lineage: Bacteria
Description: partial 16S ribosomal RNA
Rfam family: Bacterial small subunit ribosomal RNA
Source: RNAcentral
UACAGAGGGUGCGAGCGUUAAUCGGAAUUACUGGGCGUAAAGCGUGCGUAGACGGCUAUCUAAGUCGGGUGUGAAAGCCCCGGGCUCAACCUGGGAAUUGCAUUCGAGACUGAAUAGCUAGGGUGCGGUAGAGGGAAGCGGAAUUUCCGGUGUAGCGGUGAAGUGCGUAGAUAUCGGAAGGAACAUCAGUGGCGAAAGCGGCUUCCUGGACCAGCACCGACGUUCAGGCACGAAAGCGUGGGGAGCAAACAGG